UGCUGCGAAUGAAACUAUGUAGUUAUGAAAGUUCAUCGAUGAGAUCGAAGUGGCACCCUCCCUCGAUAGUCCUGUCUUGUUAUACUAUGACAGCACUAGUGUCAUUGCUCAAGCGAAGGAACCGAAGUCACAUCAGCAUACCAAAUACAUUCUGUGCUGCUACUACUUGAUCUGAGAGAUCAUAGAUUGAGGUGACAUCGAGC
This 203-nucleotide long non-coding RNA is filed under the name Elaeis guineensis (African oil palm). RNAcentral describes it as "long non-coding RNA (EGUI_LNC028275)". The record is from RNAcentral. Lineage: Eukaryota; Viridiplantae; Streptophyta; Magnoliopsida; Arecales; Arecaceae.